Molecule: long non-coding RNA, 2100 nt
Organism: Alligator mississippiensis (American alligator)
Lineage: Eukaryota; Metazoa; Chordata; Crocodylia; Alligatoridae
Exons: 2
Source: RefSeq, a predicted model, not a curated record
GGACCUGGGGGUUACAGUGGACAAUAAGCUGAAGAUGAGCCAGCAGUGUGCUCUUGUUGCCAAGAAGGCUAUGGCAUACUGAGCUACAUUGGUGGGUGUGUUUGUCAUCAGGUCAAGGGAAGUGAUUAUUCCCCUCUAUUUAGCACUGGUGAGGCCACAUCUGGAGUCCUGUGUUCAGUUUUGGGCCCCCCACUACAGAAAGGAUGGGGACAAAUUGGAGAUAGUCCAGCAGAGGGCAACAAAAAUGGUGAGGGGGCUGGCACACAUGAGUAAUAAGGAAAGACUGAGGGAACUGGGCUUAUUUAGUUUAGAGAAGAGAAAACUGAGAGGAGACUUAAUAGCAACCUUCAACUACCUGAAGGUGGGUUCUAAAGAGGCUGGAGCUGGACUGUUCUCAGUGGUGGCAGAUGACAGAACAAGGAGCAACUGUCUCAAGUUGCAGCAAGGGAAGUUUAGGUUAGAGAUUAGGACACAUUUUCUCAUUAGAAGGGUAGUAAAACCCUGGAACAGAGAGAUGGUGAAAUCUCCAUCCUUGAAGGUUUUCAAGACGGUUAGACAAAGCCUUGGCUGGGAUGAUCUCAUUGGGGAUGGUCCCGCUUUGAGCAGGGGGUUGGGCUAGAUGAUUUCCUGAGGUCCCUUCCAACCCUAACUUUCUGCGAUUCUAAGGGAUGCACAGGGGCAGCUAUGGCCCAGGAGCUGUCAAAACUUGGGCCAGAGCCAAAAAGAGCAAGCCAAGGGCCCAGAAGGAAAAUCAGCUGGAAAUAGAUUUCCUCUCCUUGGGGGAGGGGGAUAAAGAAUGAAAGAGGAUUUCUCUUUUUGUGGGGGAGGAUAUAUAGCAGGCUGUGGGGCUAGAGGCUGCAGCCCAGCUAUGCGCAGUAAUGCUCAUUACAGACUGCUCUAGAGGACUGGGCCAGCUGAAGGAGAUAAGUAGCAGCCCCAGGAAGUCAAAAGGCUUCCAGGAAGGGGAAAUCAGGGAGACAGGCAAACCGAAGAGGAGACGAAGUGAGAGUGGUCUGGCCGGCAGCUGCAAUAGCAGACCAGGGUCUCUCGGGGUCUGGGAAGAGACCCAGGUGUUGCAAGACUGGGAGCAGCACUAGCACCAGGGCAGAGAGCUGAGUCGCAGUCAGCCUGUGAGGGAAAGCUGCAGCAAGGAAGGAGCAUCUGUAAGUCAGAGGCAACUCCUCAGGGGCUGAAGCAGACUGAGACCUGUGAUGGUACGUCCUGGAAGUCCACUAGAAAGAAAUACCCUUCGAACUGCAGUAACGAGGGAGUUCUGAAGCGGCCAAGAGUGUCAAACGAUCUACUUGGACAUGCACUGAAUUAGCCUGACAACUAUAUGGAGUUAUAAUUUGAACAAAUUCUUAUAGCUAAAUGUCUUCUGCACAGGGUAGAAGGAGUAUUAUGCCAAUGAACUGAAACUAAAAGGAGUUAUAAAGCGUAUGCAAUCAUCCAUUGACAGGGAGGAGUGGUGAUGUUCCCUCUCUAAUUAACAUUUUUUAGAAUGCCCAAGCCAUUAUAUAAUGGCUUUAAUGUUUUUAAUGCUUAUAUUUCCAGAGUGCCAUCUGCUGUUACUAACCCAUCACCUAAAAUCCCAGCACUGGUUUGUGUAAUGAUAAUGUGUCUGUCCCUUACAUGCUCCUGCCAUCUGAUACACCCACAUACCUCGGCUUUCUUACAUAAAUCUAGAAGGAAGGUGGGGUAACUUGCAGACUGUCAGUACUGCACUCUCAAGUUAGAUUCUAAACUUUUAUCAUGAUAGCCCUAGAUUUACUACUACCCAUAUAUCUGACUUUUCAAUGCCAGAAUUUAUACUUGAAAAGAAACACGAAGAAAGCACGAUACGAUGCCUAUCACCCCAAAAUCAAUGUAGUUCCCUUAUCUACUGCCCGUCAUGAAUUAGAAACAACCCAGUAGGGGCACUGGUUGGCAGUUGAAGAAACUUCUGUUUCAGAAUGUCUUUCAUUGUCUUUUGUCAAGACAAGUGUAAGCCUAGCCGAGUAUACGUCUGCCUUGCUUGGACUGUACCACUAGAUCACAUAUGGCUGAACUGUUAAAUCAUCAGCCUGUGUUAAAUAAAGCUAUUUGUACUGUUUACAUUGA